UACAGAGGGUGCGAGCGUUGUCCGGAAUCACUGGGCGUAAAGGGCGCGUAGGUGGCUUGGUAAGCGUGUGGUGAAAGUCCGGGGCUCAACCCCGGAUCUGCCGUGCGAACUGCCGAGCUUGAGCGAUGUAGAGGCAGGUGGAAUUUCGGGUGUAGCGGUGGAAUGCGUAGAUAUCCGAAAGAACACCAGUGGCGAAGGCGGCCUGCUGGGCAUCAGCUGACACUGAGGCGCGACAGCGUGGGGAGCAAACAGG
RNAcentral lists this ribosomal RNA (253 nucleotides) under uncultured bacterium. Its description in RNAcentral is "partial 16S ribosomal RNA". It matches the Rfam family "Bacterial small subunit ribosomal RNA", at positions 524 to 776 of the family's 1533-position model. The record is from RNAcentral.